UCCGGGUUGGUCCCGGCGGUCCGGCCAGACGUGGUAACUGGCCGCGGGGGUUGCGCUCGUUGCGGGACUUAACCCAACACCUCACGGCACGAGCUGACGACAGCCGUGCAGCACCUGUGCCGGCUCCCUCGCGGGUCGCUCGGGUUUCCCCUCGCUACCACCGGCAUGUCAAGCCCGGGUAAGGUUCUUCGCGUUGCAUCGAAUUAAACCACACGCUCCGCUGCUUGUGCGGGCCCCCGUCAAUUCCUUUGAGUUUUAGCCUUGCGGCCGUACUCCCCAGGCGGGCCACUUAACGCGUAAGCUGCGGCGCAGAGGGGGUCGAUACCCCCCACACCUAGUGGCCAUCGUUUACGGCGUGGACUAC
Molecule: unclassified non-coding RNA, 364 nt
Filed under: uncultured Chloroflexota bacterium
Lineage: Bacteria; Bacillati; Chloroflexota
Description: uncultured Chloroflexi bacterium contains 16S-23S intergenic spacer region
Source: RNAcentral